Molecule: long non-coding RNA, 111 nt
Filed under: Coturnix japonica (Japanese quail)
Lineage: Eukaryota; Metazoa; Chordata; Aves; Galliformes; Phasianidae
Description: lncRNA (ENSCJPG00005010083.1)
Source: RNAcentral
UUUGGAAUGGCUUUUUUUCACGACCUCAAUUUGGAGAUUCAAAGCCAUCAUUAUUCUGGCCAAUGUUUUUCUCUAGAAGUCUUCUGUCUCACAAACAGGCCAAGUGUUUGA